AAAAACAUGGCUCCUUGAUUUUCACUGAUAAGGAGUCGGACCUGCCCAGUGAAUAUUUCAACGGCCGCGGUACUCUGACCGUGCAAAGGUAGCAUAAUCAUUUGCCUUAUAAUUGAAGGCUAGUAUGAAUGGUUUGACAAGAAUAUAGCUGUCUCUUUAUGAUUAUUUAGAAUUUUAUUUUUAGGUGAAGAAGCCUAAAUUUAAUUAAAAGACAAGAAGACCCUAUCGAGCUUGAAAGAAUUUAAUGAAAUUUGAAAUUAAUAAUAUUAAAAAAUUAUUUGUUAAAAAUUUUGGUUGGGGCGACUGAGGAACAUAAAAAGCUUCCUUUAUUAAUAAAUCUCGUACUUGAAUUGAUCCAAAAUAUUUUGAUUAAAGAAAUUAGUUACCGUAGGGAUAACAGCAUAAUCUUUUUUAAGAGCUCAUAUCGAAAAAAAGGUUUGUGACCUCGAUGUUGGACCAGAAUAUCCUAAAGGUGCAGCAGCCUUUGAGGGUUGGUCUGUUCGACCAUUAAAAUUCUACGUGA
Molecule: ribosomal RNA, 523 nt
Filed under: Reticunassa tringa
Lineage: Eukaryota; Metazoa; Mollusca; Gastropoda; Neogastropoda; Nassariidae
Description: partial 16S ribosomal RNA
Rfam family: Bacterial large subunit ribosomal RNA
Source: RNAcentral